This 491-nucleotide ribosomal RNA is filed under the name uncultured bacterium. RNAcentral describes it as "partial 16S ribosomal RNA". It matches the Rfam family "Bacterial small subunit ribosomal RNA", at positions 29 to 506 of the family's 1533-position model. The record is from RNAcentral.
AGUGAACGCUGGCGGUAGGCCUAACACAUGCAAGUCGAACGGCAGCACAGUAAGAGCUUCCUCUUACGGGUGGCGAGUGGCGGACGGGUGAGGAAUACAUCGGAAUCUACUUUUUCGUGGGGGAUAACGUAGGGAAACUUACGCUAAUACCGCAUACGACCUACGGGUGAAAGCAGGGGAUCUUCGGACCUUGCGCGAUUGAAUGAGCCGAUGUCGGAUUAGCUAGUUGGCGGGGUAAAGGCCCACCAAGGCGACGAUCCGUAGCUGGUCUGAGAGGAUGAUCAGCCACACUGGAACUGAGACACGGUCCAGACUCCUACGGGAGGCAGCAGUGGGGAAUAUUGGACAAUGGGCGCAAGCCUGAUCCAGCCAUACCGCGUGGGUGAAGAAGGCCUUCGGGUUGUAAAGCCCUUUUGUUGGGAAAGAAAAGCAGCAGGUUAAUACCCCGCUGUUCUGACGGUACCCAAAGAAUAAGCAUCGGCUAACUUCGU